AAACUUUGACCACAGAGUGAAUGUAAUGUUUCCCCGCAGAAAAACUAAGUCCAUUUAUAAAUAAAAUACAGAAAAAAUGGAAUUUAAUUUUACAAAAUUUACUUCUGGAUACUAUCUUAUGAUCAUAAACAAGCUUCUGUCCAAGUUUGGUAGAAAUCCAGAACAGUUUAAGAAAAUUAUUAAAAUUUCAAAAACUUUAACCACAGAGUGAAUAUUUGUGGAC
Molecule: long non-coding RNA, 223 nt
Filed under: Mytilus galloprovincialis (Mediterranean mussel)
Lineage: Eukaryota; Metazoa; Mollusca; Bivalvia; Mytilida; Mytilidae
Source: RNAcentral